RNAcentral lists this ribosomal RNA (268 nucleotides) under uncultured bacterium. Its description in RNAcentral is "partial 16S ribosomal RNA". It matches the Rfam family "Bacterial small subunit ribosomal RNA", at positions 1234 to 1500 of the family's 1533-position model. The record is from RNAcentral.
CGUAAACAAAGGGAAGCGAGACGGUGACGUUAAAGCAAAUCCCAGAAAUAACGUCCCAGUUCGGAUUGUAGUCUGCAACCCGACUACAUGAAGCUGGAAUCGCUAGUAAUCGCGAAUCAGAAUGUCGCGGUGAAUACGUUCCCGGGUCUUGUACACACCGCCCGUCACACCAUGGGAGUCGGAAAUGCCCGAAGUCAGUGACCCAACCGUAAGGAGGGAGCUGCCGAAGGUGGAGCCGGUAACUGGGGUGAAGUCGUAACAAGGUAUC